Molecule: long non-coding RNA, 460 nt
Organism: Mesocricetus auratus (golden hamster)
Lineage: Eukaryota; Metazoa; Chordata; Mammalia; Rodentia; Cricetidae
Exons: 2
Source: RefSeq, a predicted model, not a curated record
UGUGUGUGUGUGUGUGUGUGUUGAUCGUGACACAUGGGCGGACAGUAUUUCCUCCAUAACUGUCUGCCAGGUUCAGGAGUGAGUGACACGUUUCUUUUUUAUGAAAAGGGAUAAAAAAGGCACAGGGCUGAUGUAUUUCCAAUAUUGAAGUGACCUAACAUGGUAUUUUCGUGAGUCACAAUUGUGAAGUUUUGUGCGGUUUUUUGUAUUGAUAAUCUGACAUUUAGAACACAUCCUAUUUAUUCUCGUGCUUUGUGUUCAUGUCUCAUGCAUUAUAGAGGGUUCCAGCUUUACUCUUCCUGUCACUUAAAGCAAUAUGAUGAGGGUGGUCCCGCUAAUCUGGCAAGGAGCGGGAGAAGGAAUGGGAGGGAGAGGAGGAAAAAGAACUAACCAGCCUUCAAUAUUUCCCCUUUACUUUAAAAACCAUUUCUUAAAAGCAAUAAUUAAAUCAGACCUUGCU